GAUGAACGCUAGCGGCAGGCCUAACACAUGCAAGUCGAGGGAUAAGCCUUCGGGCUAAGACCGGCGCACGGGUGCGUAACGCGUAUACAAUCUGCCUUUUAUCCGGGGAUAGCCCGAAGAAAUUUGGAUUAAUACCCUAUGGUAUAAGAGCACGGCAUCGUGCACUUAUUAAAGCUACGGCGGUAAAAGAUGAGUAUGCGUUCUAUUAGCUAGUUGGAGAGGUAACGGCUCCCCAAGGCGACGAUAGAUAGGGGUUCUGAGAGGGAUGUCCCCCACACUGGUACUGAGAUACGGACCAGACUCCUACGGGAGGCAGCAGUGAGGAAUAUUGGACAAUGGUCGGAAGACUGAUCCAGCCAUGCCGCGUGCAGGAUGACGGCCUUAUGGGUGGUAAACUGCUUUUGUAAGGGAAGAAUAAGGAGUACGUGUACUUUGAUGACGGUACCUUACGAAUAAGCAUCGGCUAACUCCGUG
RNAcentral lists this ribosomal RNA (474 nucleotides) under uncultured bacterium. RNAcentral's name for it is "partial 16S ribosomal RNA". It matches the Rfam family "Bacterial small subunit ribosomal RNA", at positions 28 to 507 of the family's 1533-position model. The record is from RNAcentral.